RNAcentral lists this ribosomal RNA (421 nucleotides) under uncultured bacterium. Its description in RNAcentral is "partial 16S ribosomal RNA". It matches the Rfam family "Bacterial small subunit ribosomal RNA", at positions 360 to 773 of the family's 1533-position model. The record is from RNAcentral.
AAUAUUUGUCAAUGGGGGCGAACCUGAUCCAGCCAUGCCGCGUGUGUGUAGAAGGACUUCGGAUUGUAUAGCACGUUAAGUUGGGAGUAAGGGCAGUAAGUUAAUACCUUGCUGUGUUGACGUUACCGCCAGAAUAAGCACCGGCUAACUUCGUCACAGCAGCCGCGGUAAUACGAAGGGUGCAAGCGUUAAUUGGAAUUACUGGGCGUAAAGCGCGAGUAGGUGGUUUGUUAAGUUGGAAGUGAAAGCCCCGGGCGCAACCUGGGAACUGCUUUCAAAACUGGCAAGCUAGAGUAUGGCAGAGGGUGGUGGAAUUUCCUGUGUAGCGGUGAAAUGCGUAGAUAUAGGAAGGAACACCAGUGGCGAAGGCGACUACCUGGACUGAUACUGACACUGAGGUGCAAAAGCGUGGGGAGCAAAC